GUUUUCUGAUUUGGAUUCCCAAAGUUCGUAGUGCAAUACAAUCGGAUGAAGAUAGUCUAGAUACCUUAGCUGCAUUGGCACAUAGGUCACCCAACCACCACUUCACUGAAGCCCAAAUCUGAUCAUAAUUAAUGUCCACACCUUCCAUCUUUUUUCUGCACCUUGCUGUCCAAAUCGCCCAGAAAAUCAAAACAGGAGAAAAGUCAAUAAUCAUGCCUACUUGGGACGUUUUUGAUGCCUUGGAGAACCAGAAAUUCAUUCUUUGUCUCCGGCCCAAAGAUGGAGUGUUAGCGAUGCCUGUCGUCGUCGAUAUCUGAUUCCAAAGAAAUUUUGCCAGGUCACUGCCAUCCAACAAAUGGUUGAGAGACUCACAAUGAGGUGUAACACAACAUACACAUUUUGAUGCUAAGGUGAUCCCCACCAUUUGUAUUUUUUCAUCCACAACGAGUGCAUUCUGUAUAGCUUUCCAAGUAAUGAAAGAGAUUCUUUUUGGAAUUAGUGGAUGCCAUACCCAUUUAUCCCAAUCUACACUCUCCCGUUUGUCUCGAAUGAGUUCCCAAGUAUUCCUAGUGCUGAACAAGCCAUCUAGAGAGGGUUUCCAAACAAUUGUAUCCACUCCUUCACGUAACUUUGGAACAAAGUCUAUAACAGCUUUAGCUAAAUCAUUCCCGAUUAAUUCUGAUAAGACAUCUUCAUUCCACCCUCUUGAGGUCACCACUGCAUUUAGCCUCAAAUCAG
Molecule: long non-coding RNA, 738 nt
Filed under: Olea europaea subsp. europaea
Lineage: Eukaryota; Viridiplantae; Streptophyta; Magnoliopsida; Lamiales; Oleaceae
Source: RNAcentral